This 354-nucleotide ribosomal RNA is filed under the name uncultured bacterium. RNAcentral's name for it is "bacterial SSU rRNA". It matches the Rfam family "Bacterial small subunit ribosomal RNA", at positions 30 to 390 of the family's 1533-position model. The record is from RNAcentral.
AUUGAACGCUGGCGGCAUGCCUUACACAUGCAAGUCGAACGGUAACAGGUUAAGCUGACGAGUGGCGAACGGGUGAGUAAUAUAUCGGAACGUGCCCAGUUGUGGGGGAUAACUACUCGAAAGAGUGGCUAAUACCGCAUGAGACCUGAGGGUGAAAGCGGGGGAUCGCAAGACCUCGCGCAAUUGGAGCGGCCGAUAUCAGAUUAGCUAGUUGGCGGGGUAAAAGCCCACCAAGGCGACGAUCUGUAGCUGGUCUGAGAGGACGACCAGCCACACUGGGACUGAGACACGGCCCAGACUCCUACGGGAGGCAGCAGUGGGGAAUUUUGGACAAUGGACGAAAGUACUGAUCCA